This 403-nucleotide ribosomal RNA is filed under the name uncultured bacterium. RNAcentral describes it as "bacterial SSU rRNA". It matches the Rfam family "Bacterial small subunit ribosomal RNA", at positions 357 to 776 of the family's 1533-position model. The record is from RNAcentral.
GGGAAUAUUGCACAAUGGGGGAAACCCUGAUGCAGCGACGCCGCGUGAAGGAAGAAGUAUUUCGGUAUGUAAACUUCUAUCAGCAGGGAAGAAAAAAGACGGUACCUGACUAAGAAGCCCCGGCUAACUACGUGCCAGCAGCCGCGGUAAUACGUAGGGGGCUAGCGUUAUCCGGAUUUACUGGGUGUAAAGGGAGCGUAGACGGCGGUGCAAGCCAGAUGUGAAAGCCCGGGGCUCAACCCCGGGACUGCAUUUGGAACUGUGCUGCUAGAGUGUCGGAGAGGCAGGCGGAAUUCCUAGUGUAGCGGUGAAAUGCGUAGAUAUUAGGAGGAACACCAGUGGCGAAGGCGGCCUGCUGGACGAUGACUGACGUUGAGGCUCGAAAGCGUGGGGAGCAAACAGG